CAACCUGCCUAUAAGACUGGGAUAACUUCGGGAAACCGGAGCUAAUACCGGAUACGUUCUUUUCUCGCAUGAGAGAAGAUGGAAAGACGGUUCAUGCUGUCACUUAUAGAUGGGCCCGCGGCGCAUUAGCUAGUUGGUGAGGUAAUGGCUCACCAAGGCGACGAUGCGUAGCCGACCUGAGAGGGUGAUCGGCCACACUGGGACUGAGACACGGCCCAGACUCCUACGGGAGGCAGCAGUAGGGAAUCUUCCGCAAUGGACGAAAGUCUGACGGAGCAACGCCGCGUGAACGAAGAAGGCCUUCGGGUCGUAAAGUUCUGUUGUUAGGGAAGAACAAGUACCAGAGUAACUGCUGGUACCUUGACGGUACCUAACCAGAAAGCCACGGCUAACUACGUGCCAGCAGCCGCGGUAAUACGUAGGUGGCAAGCGUUGUCCGGAAUUAUUGGGCGUAAAGCGCGCGCAGGUGGUUCCUUAAGUCUGAUGUGAAAGCCCACGGCUCCACCGUGGAGGGUCAUUGGAAACUGGGGAACUUGAGUGCAGAAGAGGAAAGUGGAA
Molecule: ribosomal RNA, 558 nt
Filed under: Bacillus sp. A29(2015)
Lineage: Bacteria; Bacillati; Bacillota; Bacilli; Caryophanales; Bacillaceae
Description: bacterial SSU rRNA
Rfam family: Bacterial small subunit ribosomal RNA
Source: RNAcentral